Long non-coding RNA from Cannabis sativa, 1179 nucleotides. RefSeq lists it as uncharacterized. NCBI's taxonomy places the organism in Eukaryota, Viridiplantae, Streptophyta, Magnoliopsida, Rosales, Cannabaceae. The transcript has 4 exons. The record is from RefSeq and is a predicted model, not a curated record.
CGAGAUAGGCCACGAAAUUAAAGAAAAAAAUCAGCCCAGCCCAAAUCAUCUUAUAUCUCUCUCUCUCAAAACCCUAAUCUUUCCAUCAAUACUCAGCUGUAACCCUCUUCUUUUCUCUCAACCAUUCCUUCUCUUCUUCUUUCUCGCAUGGACGGCAGGGCUUGAAGAUUCUCUCUCAUCAUUGAAGACUCACAAACAAACGGAGGUUCUUGUUGCUCUCUCGUCGCUGAUGGCUCUCACCUAACCCUGACGAUAGUGUUGACUCAAUCCCAAUCCCAAAAGUUGAUGGCUCUCUCACAAGGAUUGGGAUCACUCUCAAAUUUUCUCUAUUAUUGUGGUCUUUGUUGUGUUGUUGAGCAAAUAUGCUAGUCUCAAAAUCUUUGCAUAGACUAUUCAAAUUCAGGGAGCUAUUGAAAAUGGUAGUCAAAGGAAUUGUGGCUCAAAUGAGACUUGUUGAUGUUCUAUAAAGUAGGGCCAACAAUAUAUUUCUGUAACUCAUAAAUAUUUGAAUUUUUUUUUUGGUUCAGAUUUUGUAAUGAUGUCUUCAACAGUUUUUGUUGAAUAUUAUGGAUUGGUGUUAGAUAUAUUGUUUAUAAUGUAUUGUAAUUUAUUUUUUAUGUAUAUUCUUACAAUUAAUAUAUUGUAACACCCUAACUAACUUAGGCGAAUUACGUGAUUUUUUUUUAAACAUGCUGUGCAGCUCGUUGCUAAUCAACGAGGUUUAUGGAAAACGUGAUUAAUUAAAAUUUUUGCUUUUUGAUUAAACUUGUAAAAUAUAGUUACAAAAAGACUCGGGAUCCCGAUUACAAAAUCAUUUACAAAAUUUAACUGUUUAUACAAAAUAAAUGUCGCCUAGCGACUAGUUACAAAAUCAGCCUCGUUGUCCCGAUGAUCGUACGCUCUAGGCCUAACCGCCCCGACAUGUACAACCUUCAUAAGCUCGCUCACGGUCCAUCAGCUUUAGCCUUGCCUUUACCUACACAUAAACGUAGAACUGUGAGUCGACAGACUCAGUAAGAAAAGCAUAAUAAUACUCAUACAUAAAUCCCGGUCAUGAUCAGACGCCCAUACCCCUGAUCAUAACCCUAACUGCCGUGUCCAACACGAUACUGAGUCCCGCUACUGCCGUGUCCAACACGGUACUGAGCCACUACUGCCAUGUCCAACAUGGUACUGAGU